RNAcentral lists this ribosomal RNA (465 nucleotides) under uncultured bacterium. RNAcentral's name for it is "partial 16S ribosomal RNA". It matches the Rfam family "Bacterial small subunit ribosomal RNA", at positions 28 to 507 of the family's 1533-position model. The record is from RNAcentral.
GACGAACGCUGGCGGCGUGCUUAACACAUGCAAGUCGAACGGAAAGGCCCCUUUGGGGGUACUCGAGUGGCGAACGGGUGAGUAACACGUGAGUAACCUGCCCUUGACUUCGGGAUAACUUCAGGAAACUGGGGCUAAUACCGGAUAGGAAUCCUUGCUGCAUGGUGGGGGUUGGAAAGCUUCGGCGGUUUUGGAUGGACUCGCGGCUUAUCAGCUUGUUGGUGGGGUAGUGGCUUACCAAGGCUUUGACGGGUAGCCGGCCUGAGAGGGCGACCGGCCACAUUGGGACUGAGAUACGGCACAGACUCCUACGGGAGGCAGCAGGGGGGAAUAUUGCACAAUGGGCGGAAGCCUGAUGCAGCAACGCCGCGUGCGGGAUGACGGCCUUCGGGUUGUAAACCGCUUUCAGCAGGGGCGAAGCUUGUGGUGACGGUACCUGCAGAAGAAGCACCGGCUAACUACGUG